ACAGGGAGGACAGGUGGUGGCAUGGUUGUCGUCAGCUCGUGUCGUGAGAUGUUGGGUUAAGUCCCGCAACGAGCGCAACCCCUACGUUUAGUUGCUAACGCGUGAGGGCGAGCACUCUAGACGAACUGCCGUUGACAAAACGGAGGAAGGUGGGGAUGACGUCAAAUCAUCAUGCCCCUUAUGUUCUGGGCUACACACGUGCUACAAUGGCCGGUACAGACGGACGCAAAGCCGCGAGGUGGAGCAAAUCCUAAAAAGCCGGUCUCAGUUCGGAUUGCAGGCUGCAAUUCGCCUGCAUGAAGUCGGAAUCGCUAGUAAUCGCAGGUCAGCAUACUGCGGUGAAUACGUUCCCGGGCCUU
This 359-nucleotide ribosomal RNA is filed under the name uncultured Pelotomaculum sp. RNAcentral's name for it is "bacterial SSU rRNA". It matches the Rfam family "Bacterial small subunit ribosomal RNA", at positions 1025 to 1382 of the family's 1533-position model. The record is from RNAcentral. Lineage: Bacteria; Bacillati; Bacillota; Clostridia; Eubacteriales; Desulfotomaculaceae.